Molecule: ribosomal RNA, 406 nt
Filed under: uncultured bacterium
Lineage: Bacteria
Description: partial 16S ribosomal RNA
Rfam family: Bacterial small subunit ribosomal RNA
Source: RNAcentral
AUUGAACGCUGGCGGCAGGCCUAACACAUGCAAGUCGAACGAGUGGCGGACGGGUGAGUAAUGUCUGGGACACUGCCUGCGGGAGGGGGAUAACUACUGGAAACGGUAUCUAAUACCGCAUACCAUCAGAUCUGCCCAGAUGGGGUUAGCUAGUUGGUGGGGUAACGGCUCACCAAGGCGACGAUCCCUAGCUGGUCUGAGAGGAUGACCGGCCACACUGGAACUGAGACACGGUCCAGACUCCUACGGGAGGCAGCAGUGGGGAAUAGUGCACAAUGGGCGCAAGCCUGAUGCAGCCAUGCCGCGUGUAUGAAGGAGGCCUUCGGGUUGUAAAGUACGUUCAGAGGGGAGGCGGUACCCGCAGAAGAAGCACCGGCUAACUACGUGCCAGCAGCCGCGGUAAUAC